GGUUGAUCCUGCCAGUAGCAUAUGCUUGUCUUAAAGACUAAGCCAUGCAUGUCUAAGUAUAAACCUUUAUACGGUGAAACUGCGAAUGGCUCAUUAAAUCAGUUAUAGUUUAUUUGAUAAUACCUACUACUUGGAUAACUGUAGUAAUUCUAGAGCUAAUACAUGCUGAAACACCCGACUCAGGGAGGGUGGCGUUUAUUAGAUAAAAAACCAAUGCGGGGACCUCCCCGGACCGUUGAUGACUCAUAAUAACCGAGCGAAUCGCAUGGCCUCGAGCCGGCGAUGAUUCAUU
RNAcentral lists this ribosomal RNA (292 nucleotides) under uncultured eukaryote. RNAcentral's name for it is "partial 18S ribosomal RNA". It matches the Rfam family "Eukaryotic small subunit ribosomal RNA", at positions 6 to 299 of the family's 1831-position model. The record is from RNAcentral.